This 563-nucleotide ribosomal RNA is filed under the name uncultured bacterium. RNAcentral's name for it is "bacterial SSU rRNA". It matches the Rfam family "Bacterial small subunit ribosomal RNA", at positions 338 to 916 of the family's 1533-position model. The record is from RNAcentral.
CCUACGGGAGGCAGCAGUGGGGAAUAUUGGACAAUGGGCGAAAGCCUGAUCCAGCAAUGCCGCGUGAGUGAUGAAGGCCUUAGGGUUGUAAAGCUCUUUUACCAGGGAUGAUAAUGACAGUACCUGGAGAAUAAGCUCCGGCUAACUCCGUGCCAGCAGCCGCGGUAAUACGGGAGGGAGCUAGCGUUGUUCGGAAUUACUGGGCGUAAAGCGUGCGUAGGCGGCUAUUCAAGUCAGAGGUGAAAGCCCGGGGCUCAACCCCGGAACGGCCUUUGAAACUAGGUAGCUAGAAUCUUGGAGAGGUUAGUGGAAUUCCGAGUGUAGAGGUGAAAUUCGUAGAUAUUCGGAAGAACACCAGUGGCGAAGGCGACUAACUGGACAAGUAUUGACGCUGAGGUACGAAAGCGUGGGGAGCAAACAGGAUUAGAUACCCUGGUAGUCCACGCCGUAAACGAUGAUAACUAGCUGUCCGGGCACUUGGUGCUUGGGUGGCGCAGCUAACGCAUUAAGUUAUCCGCCUGGGGAGUACGGUCGCAAGGAUUAAAACUCAAAGGAAUUGACGG